This is a non-coding RNA of Myotis lucifugus (little brown bat), 335 nucleotides long. NCBI's taxonomy places the organism in Eukaryota, Metazoa, Chordata, Mammalia, Chiroptera, Vespertilionidae. The record is from Rfam.
GGAUGUGAGGGCGAUCUGGCUGCGACAUCUGUCACCCCAUUGAUCGCCAGGGUUGAUUCGGCUGAUCUGGCUGGCUAGGCGGGUGUCCCCCUCCUCCCUCACCGAUCCAUGUGCGUCCCUCCCGAAGCUGCGCGCUCGGUCGAAGAGGACGACCUUCCCCCCCGAGGAGAGGACCGGUCUUCGGUCAAGGGUAUACGAGUAGCUGCGCUCCCCUGCUAGAACCUCCAAACAAGCUCUCAAAAGGUGGUGAGUUCGAUUCCUGGUCAAGGCACAGAGGUUUCGGGUUUGAACCUCAGUUGGGGCACAUGGGAGAGGCAACCAAUCUAUGUUUCUCU